RNAcentral lists this ribosomal RNA (253 nucleotides) under uncultured bacterium. RNAcentral describes it as "partial 16S ribosomal RNA". It matches the Rfam family "Bacterial small subunit ribosomal RNA", at positions 524 to 776 of the family's 1533-position model. The record is from RNAcentral.
UACGUAGGGGGCCAGCGUUGUUCGGCAUUACUGGGCGUAAAGGGUUCGUAGGUGGUGCGGUAAGUUGGAAGUGAAAUCUCUGGGCUUAACCCAGAGGCUGCUUUCAAAACUGUCGCGCUCGAGUGCGAGAGAGGUCAGUGGAAUUGCAGGUGUAGCGGUGAAAUGCGUAGAGAUCUGGAGGAACAACCGUGGCGAAGGCGGCUGACUGGAUCGCAACUGACACUGAGGAACGAAAGCUAGGGGAGCAAACAGG